UUCACCCUACAAACCUCGAGUUUCCUACUUCUUCUUCCUCCAUGCUGCUCACAUCAGCAUCAUCUUCUUCCCAUUACACGCAACAUAAAUCUCCAAGACCCACAACAGUCGACACUAUCAAGAUGUCACCACUUCACGAAGAUCCUCAGGAUUCAAGAGUUAUGAUCCAUUUCUUCUAGAUUUAACCCAUAUACCUCUCAUUCAUGCAUUUGUGUUGUGUGUGUUGGUUUGAUAUUUUGGCCAC
Brassica napus (rape) is the source of this 244-nucleotide non-coding RNA. The record is from Rfam. Lineage: Eukaryota; Viridiplantae; Streptophyta; Magnoliopsida; Brassicales; Brassicaceae.